ACAAAGCUGAUGGACCUCAAAAUUCGGGUAAUUUUCUAUUGAGCUGUUGUAUCAAAGUUUUACUUUCCGGAGCUAAUCAAUUGGGCUAUGGGGUUGUUUCUUGAUGAAAGUUUUCGAUAUUUUGACAAACCACCUCUCGUUCCGCCUGACUCGGGAAGCAAGGCAGUGGCUUUUCCUCGGAUUCACAAACUACUGCAGUUAGUGAACAGAUGGAGGGACUACAGAUAGCUCCUUCAUCAGCCUGCAGUAACUGUCAAUCAAAUCAACAGAUAGAUGAGAGAGAACCAUCAACUAGUUCUGAUAGUGAGAUGGCCUCAAGCUCUACAAAGACUGAUGACCAACAAGAGGAAGAUGGCUGGGAGGUUGUUAGGCGAUCAAAAAAGAAGCAUUAAUUCUGAAAAUAAAUUUUACAUUAUGCAUGCCA
Molecule: long non-coding RNA, 424 nt
Organism: Nematostella vectensis (starlet sea anemone)
Lineage: Eukaryota; Metazoa; Cnidaria; Anthozoa; Actiniaria; Edwardsiidae
Exons: 3
Source: RefSeq, a predicted model, not a curated record